UUUUUCCCCCAGAAUGGUUUUAUAUGUGUGUAGAUUCCACCCAAGAGCAAUAUGAAAAAAGGGAGAGAAGAGGUCAGAUGGGAAGAGGCUAGAGUCCAGCAGAACCCAUUUGGCAUAUAGAUCAUGUGGAACUCUAAAUAGGAGUCCCAUGUUCUUUGUGCUUCCAGCUAAAGGUGGCCUUUUCUUUUGCUGCAAAAGAAAAAAAGGUCUCCCCAACAUAAUGCGAUGGGGGGGGGGCCUGUCCGAUCCUUCCAGUGUUUGAUUGUAGCUGCUUAGCUAAUAGGAUUUGCAGGGACCAAUCUCAUUGCCCUCCAUCAAGGCCGAGGACACCAGGAAGUAACGGUGUACAGCACAAACAUUUGAAUUAAUACAGGACAAGGCUAGAUCAUAAGUUUUGAGUACUGUCCUGGCUUCACUACAAUGCCAGCAGAAAUCUGUAGAUGAAACAUGUUUGUGACAGGGGAAAGGGAGGGAGGUACAUGCCAG
This is a long non-coding RNA of Lacerta agilis (Sand lizard), 486 nucleotides long. RefSeq lists it as uncharacterized. The transcript has 2 exons. Lineage: Eukaryota; Metazoa; Chordata; Lepidosauria; Squamata; Lacertidae. The record is from RefSeq and is a predicted model, not a curated record.